CUCAUUUCCUAAAGAUUCUUCAGAGUCCUAAAGAAAAGGAGAGAGGGAAGCAGGGAAGAGGAGACAGGAGAAUUAGGGUGUACAUCAGAGCUCAGCAUGGCUGUGAGGGAAAGUGCCCAAGUAUCAUUAUUAAGGGAAGGGAUUGGGCUUCUCUCACUGAGUUACCAAAGAAAAUUGUACAACAGCCAGGGCCCAGCCCAGACUCAAAGAUAGAAUCAGAUAUUAACAAGGGAGAAAUUCAGAAUCUGGGUAAGGUUACCAGGGAGGUCAGAGCCUCUAAGAUUAGGAUCUGGAGUGAAAUAGAGGCAAAACAACAGGAAACAAGGUCAAAAACUGGAAGGCUUGAUUUUGGCUUCUAAAUUGGGAUCAGUUACACAGGAAAUUAAAUUCAAGAAAAAACUGAGGAGGCAAUAGGGUUCAACGUCACUGACUAAGUCCAGUUAAGUGCAAAGUAGCAGAUUGGCAGAGUCAUGCUGGGUUCCCCAACGUUCCUGGCUCUACCCAAUUGUGUAUCGUCUUCCACUCAACCAAUGGUCCAUCCCACAGGCUUUGCCUCUGUCCCCCAUAGGACUAUAACACACUCAAGGUCUUUUCAAGUAGCCGUUAGGCAAACCAUACCAUUGAUUUUCCAGUUUUUCAGUGGGGUAAGCAGUGAAGUCAGAGUAAACAGAGAGGUCAGAGCUUCCAACCCCAGGUGGAUCUGCCCCACCUCUGAACUAAUAUGGGAAAGUUUUAAGACUGGUCGACACUAUUGUAAAAUGCACUCAGCCAGGGUAUGGGACGAAUACCCGAGAAAGUCUAACCUCCUCAGGACUCGCUACCCGACAGGGACUCCCAACAUAUACACUUGGACAAUUGGUGGAACUCUUCAAUGUUUUCCCUUCUGGCACCCCUUUUAGGCCCCCUAAUGUCUUUACUACUUCUAUUCACUAUAGGCCCCUGUGUGGUAAACAAAAUUUUACAAUUUGUCAGAGAAAGGUUUGAUACCAUCCAACUAAUGGUCCUCCGUAGCCAUCACCAGCCUCUCCUGCACCCAGAAAGUGAGGCUACAUUAUAAGACUCUGGAAAUCCAAGAUUGGACAUCCAGUUACUUGUGAGAGGGGGAAAUGAAAGAACACCAAACCCUUUGUUCUGCUCUCUAAUCUUUGCACAUACCAGAGAUUCCGUAAGUUCUGUGAGUACCUGCUUUUCUGCACGUACCAGAGAUUUUGUAAGUUCUGAGGCAAGGUCACAAGACGUGUUUUAAGUAAGAUAAACUCUUGCUGCCAUAAACCUGCUCUCCCGCCUCAAAGGUUGAACCGAAAUGGCGGGAACCAAUCAUAGUUAGCCAAAUCGCCUUGUUCAAACACUAGCCAAUCAUAUAUCUGAUUUGUAUAAUAACUCUAUGCCCACUUUUCUUAGACUAUAUAACACUGCUCGGAGCUCAGUGGGGGAGCUCUCCUGCCCGUCUCGUUUCACGAGCGAGGGAGAGUUCCAGGUUCGAACCUGUAAUAAAGAUCCUUGCUGCUUAAAAAAAAAAAAAAAAAAAAAAAAAAAAAAAAAAAAAAAGACUGGUCGAGUGGGGUCAUGGGCCAGAGAGGUACAUUAAUAGAGAAUUUGGAAACUUUGUGCAGUAGGUGGGCUUCUCAGAUGAAUCCCAAGACCCCCACCUCCUGAUGUGCAUGCCUGCAUCUGUAUCGUUUCCUCCUCCUUGAGCAUGGGGGGACCUGUGAAUAUGAGCGAUAUCACCCCAGGCAAAACGGAGAUUCACCUGGGUGGGCCUGGCUUAAUCAGGUGAACCUUUAAAAAGGUGGAGCAUCAGAGACACCUUCCCCCACUGGCCUGGAGGGAGAUGCGCGCCGUGUUGUGACCAGCCUAGGGAGACCCCAUGACAAGGAACUGCAGGCAGCUUCUGGCAGCUGAGAGCAUUCCCCAGCCUUGGGAUGUGCUUGGAAGAUGACCCUGAGCUUCAGAUGAGAACAUAGCCUCAGUUGACACUUUGAUGCCAGCCUGGUAAGAGUAUGAGUAGAAGACCCAGCCUGGACUUCUGGCCUUCAGAAAGCAUGGUUGAGUGUGUAGUCCUCUGUGACAUAGCAAUAAAAACUAAUCCACCUCACCUACCUGAUGGAAGGCAGCAGUAGUUUCUUUGUCUUGUUUUUUGUUUGUUUUUGAGAUGGAGUUUCACUCUUGUUGCCCAGACUGGAGUGCAAUGGCGUGAUCUUGGCUCACCACAAUCUCUGCCUCCCAGGUUCAAGUGAUUGUCCUGCCUCAGCCUCCUAAGUAGCUGGAAUUACAGGCAUGAGUCACCACGCCCAACUAAUUUGGUAUUUUUAGUAGAGAUGGGGCUUCUCCAUAUUACUCAGGCCGGUCUUGAACUCCUGACCUCAGGUGAUCCACCUACCUCGGUCUCUCAAAAUGCUGGGAUUAUAGGCAUGAGCCACAGUGCCCAGCCAGCAGCAGUAAGUUUAACUUGAACCUCAAGCUGCUUUGAUGUGCUCUGUGAUGCAGAACAAUAGAUCAACAUACACAUCAUAGAUUCAUAAAUCCACACAAGGCCUUAGAGAGCACGUCUUCUAACCCUCAGAGAGGUUUAAGUGACUUGCUCAAGGACACGCUACCAAUUAGUGGCAAAUAUGGUGGUGAUUCUUAAUCAUUCCCAUAUCUGAAAGUAAAAAGUAAAUGGGUCAAGGAUCCAGAGCACUCAAAAACGAGAGGAAUCUUAAACACCAUCUUGUGGAAGCCCCUCUGUUUGGGACAAGAGGAAACUGAGGCAUGGAAGAUUAGGGAGUUUGCAGUGUUCUUUCCAAUUCCCAGAGCCACGUCAAAGCAGCAGGUGUAGCCCUACGACAGAUAGCCAUGCGCAUGCCUUGCCCUACUAAACAGAAAUCGGCUUGCACCAAAAACCAUUGCCUGCCCACUUAUCCCCAAAAUAAAACUCAGCAGCAAGAUGCAUCCAAGAUACAAGAGCUCCCCUGACAGACAACCAAGUUAUUCCCAGCUCACAGGAGACAGAAUUCUUAUGUGGCCACUCAUGGCCCGGGCUUUCUCCUUUGCAGGAAGCCUGGGCUACAUUGAAGGAGAAAGGAGAAAGCGGGGAGGACUGGGAGACAGAAAGAGGGGCAGGCUUGAUAGGUCCUUUUUUUGGAAGCUUAGAAACAAAAGAAAAUAUUGCAUCUUUGUUAGUCAAGGACCUUUUGUGGAGGUUGAUGUGUGCCAGUCAGAUCUGAGGGGUGUGUGUGGGGGCGGGGGUGUAUGUGUGGGUGUGUGUGUAACCGAGUAGCCUGUCAGAGCCUCAUUUUCCAGGAUGCAAGUCUCCCCCUAACUGAUAACACUCUAAAUAACAGGUGAGUGACUCCUGGCAGGAAGGAGAUUGUCUGACCUCAUUGUUUGCCUUUUCCCCCCUCUUUGUUCUUCACAAAUAAAGGUUUUUUAAUAAACUGAAAGGUCCUCCGCUCUUGCCUGAUGAUAAAAUGAAAGGAACCAGUGAGGUAUGGUACAACGUGGCAGCGAAAAAGGAGAAGCUCAUCAGAAAAUAACAAAGGUGCAAGUUAAAGAUAAGGCAGCUGUCAGAGAUUAAUCCUGCCCGCCUGAUUGUUUUCUUUAAUACCAAAGCCUGCAAUAGCAAGCGAUAAGUUUGCUGAGUAAUUUGGUUUUUGGUGAGGAAAUAAAAUUCAGGUAGGCCCCAUAAUUGAUUUCCCUUUUUUUAGUUUUCUAAACAUUAAACAACAACAACACAAAGC
Molecule: long non-coding RNA, 3719 nt
Organism: Papio anubis (olive baboon)
Lineage: Eukaryota; Metazoa; Chordata; Mammalia; Primates; Cercopithecidae
Source: Ensembl